UUCAUGGUCAUCAGUCCUAUAACAUAAGACAUAUUGGGUUAAUAAUUGUUUGCAUUCAACAUUUUUUAUCAGAUAUUUUUUUUAAUUUUUAUCAAUGUGGAACAAAACAAAUAUCCAAUAAUAAAUGUUGAAUGCAAACCAUAUGAACCUACAAAGUCUAACAUAAUAGUACUACAUAGUGAAAGGAAUGACAAUACAAUUAAAUAUUUAU
RNAcentral lists this long non-coding RNA (211 nucleotides) under Mytilus galloprovincialis (Mediterranean mussel). The record is from RNAcentral. Lineage: Eukaryota; Metazoa; Mollusca; Bivalvia; Mytilida; Mytilidae.